This 400-nucleotide ribosomal RNA is filed under the name uncultured bacterium. RNAcentral's name for it is "bacterial SSU rRNA". It matches the Rfam family "Bacterial small subunit ribosomal RNA", at positions 357 to 774 of the family's 1533-position model. The record is from RNAcentral.
GGGAAUAUUGGACAAUGGGCGAAAGCCUGAUCCAGCAAUGCCGCGUGUGUGAAGAAGGUCUUCGGAUUGAAAAGCACUUUCGGCGGGGACGAUGAUGACGGUACCCGCAGAAGAAGCCCCGGCUAACUUCGUGCCAGCAGCCGCGGUAAUACGAAGUGGGCUAGCGUUGCUCGUAAUGACUGGGCGUAAAGGGCGCGUAGGCGGUUCUGCAAGUUAGAUGUGAAAUUCCUGGGCUUAACCUGGGGGCUGCAUUUGAUACUGUGGGGCUUGAGUAUGGAAGAGGGUCGUGGAAUUCCCAGUGUAGAGGUGAAAUUCGUAGAUAUUGGGAAGAACACCGGUGGCGAAGGCGGCGACCUGGUCCAUAACUGACGCUGAGGCGCGAAAGCGUGGGGAGCAAACU